AUUGAACGCUGGCGGCAGGCCUAACACAUGCAAGUCGGACGGUAGCACAGAGGAGCUUGCUCCUUGGGUGACGAGUGGCGGACGGGUGAGUAAUGUCUGGGGAUCUGCCCGAUGGAGGGGGAUAACCACUGGAAACGGUGGCUAAUACCGCAUAACGUCGCAAGACCAAAGAGGGGGACCUUCGGGCCUCUGACUAUCGGAUGAACCCAGAUGGGAUUAGCUAGUAGGCGGGGUAAUGGCCCACCUAGGCGACGAUCCCUAGCUGGUCUGAGAGGAUGACCAGCCACACUGGAACUGAGACACGGUCCAGACUCCUACGGGAGGCAGCAGUGGGGAAUAUUGCACAAUGGGCGCAAGCCUGAUGCAGCCAUGCCGCGUGUAUGAAGAAGGCCUUCGGGUUGUAAAGUACUUUCAGCGGGGAGGAAGGCGAUGCGGUUAAUAACCGCAUCGAUUGACGUUACCCGCAGAAGAAGCACCGGCUAACUCCGUGCCAGCCGCCGCGGUAA
This 506-nucleotide ribosomal RNA is filed under the name uncultured bacterium. RNAcentral's name for it is "partial 16S ribosomal RNA". It matches the Rfam family "Bacterial small subunit ribosomal RNA", at positions 29 to 523 of the family's 1533-position model. The record is from RNAcentral.